RNAcentral lists this long non-coding RNA (1177 nucleotides) under Apteryx rowi (Okarito brown kiwi). RNAcentral's name for it is "lncRNA (ENSARWG00000012405.1)". The record is from RNAcentral. Lineage: Eukaryota; Metazoa; Chordata; Aves; Apterygiformes; Apterygidae.
UAAGCUGAUUCUGUUUCUAGACUCUCUUAACCAUUGUGUACUAUACGAUGUUUUUUUUUUUUUUCAAACAAACUUUUUGUUCCAAUCUGGAAGCAAGAAAAAUCCUGUCUUCUGAGACUUUGGGGUAGUAGUUUGACAAAUGAAGAAAUCAGACCACAUACGCCAGCCGCACUCAUUUAGGAGUGCUUGUGUGCCAACUCCUCUGCUCGUGUGGUGAAGGUGUUAUGUCGCCUAGCAUGAGCAGAGUGCUGCACACGCCUGCCAUGCAGCUGUAAACAGUGGGGGCUCGCCGGGCUCAGGGUGCAUGCAUCUGUGCACAGCCUGCUUUCAUGUUUCCACUCCACACUCAAAGCAGAAGUACCAGGCGGUGAGGAAGAGAAAGCUGAGAACGUACCCAUGAGCUGAUGUCCAUCUCGAGCUCCACUGCAUGGGUGUUUCCACUCUCCAGCACUCGUAUACGUUUCCUACAUCAUCUUCCGUUAUGACUUUAUAGCACAUGGCUCCACAUUUCCCCUAACAACUGGGCUGAGAUUAUUGAUCAGCUUUAUGAGCAAGCAUGAAGAAAGUGAGGAUGGACAUAUAAAUUUAAUACUGUGUUCUGGAAAUACUUUCUUGUGCAUUGGUGGAUGUGCUAUUGAGGCAAAUAAGUCUUUUUUUUUUCCUCUUUUUUUUUUUUUUUUUAAUAAAGUUUUGUAGAGUAACCUGAUGCAGAGGCAGACGGGCUUCUUUGAAGCAUUACUGCAACAUUUGCUAACAGAGAGCAAGGAUAAAACAAUAGGAACACCCCAGCAAGAUGAAUUUGUUCUGUUUAUGCUUCAGCAUGUGCUCAUGUGGCAUUUGACAAGUACAGGAGACUUCAAAGAUGAUCAGCAAAUGGAAUCCAUGAAGAUUGGCCUCUACCCUCUCUCCAGUGAAGUGCUUGCUGUGUAAGCCACUGCAGUUUGUCUCUCUCUCCCCUGAAUGACGUGUGACUCUUUCAGUGAGGUCCCUGUGAUUCUCAUCCGAUACUGAAACUGCUGAGAGCAGCUGGAGGAGCAAGGGCAUUUUGAUUGCCCCAUGCUGUAGAUCGAAGCCUACUUGUUAAUUACAGUGUAUUAACUGAAACCAUGUAUGCAUUUUUGUUAGUUUUGCUAAACUCAACAGUUGUGCCAAUGAUAGAUCUCUCUCGAAACAGGAA